AUUGAACGCUGGCGGCAUGCCUUACACAUGCAAGUCGAACGGUAACGGGCCUUCGGGUGCCGACGAGUGGCGGACGGGUGCGUAAUACAUCGGAACGUGCCCGAUCGUGGGGGAUAACGAGGCGAAAGCUUUGCUAAUACCGCAUACGAUCUACGGAUGAAAGCCGGGGACCGCAAGGCCUUGCGCGGGCGGAGCGGCCGAUGGCAGAUUAGGUAGUUGGUGGGGUAAAAGCUUACCAAGCCGACGAUCUGUAGCUGGUCUGAGAGGAUGAUCAGCCACACUGGGACUGAGACACGGCCCAGACUCCUACGGGAGGCAGCAGUGGGGAAUUUUGGACAAUGGGCGCAAGCCUGAUCCAGCCAUGCCGCGUGCAGGAUGAAGGCCUUCGGGUUGUAAACUGCUUUUGUACGGAACGAAAAGCCUUCUUUUAAUACAGGAGGGUCAUGACGGUACCGUAAGAAUAAGCACCGGCUAACUACGUG
RNAcentral lists this ribosomal RNA (482 nucleotides) under uncultured bacterium. Its description in RNAcentral is "partial 16S ribosomal RNA". It matches the Rfam family "Bacterial small subunit ribosomal RNA", at positions 30 to 507 of the family's 1533-position model. The record is from RNAcentral.